This is a non-coding RNA of Acanthosepion pharaonis, 105 nucleotides long. The record is from the annotation of a GenBank genome assembly. Lineage: Eukaryota; Metazoa; Mollusca; Cephalopoda; Sepiida; Sepiidae.
CCAUAUCACUUUGCAACACCGGUUCUCAUAUGAUCACCAAAGUUAAGCAACGCUGAGCCUAGUCAGUACCUUUAUGGGUGACCGCUCGAGAAUAUCAGUUGCUAU